This is a long non-coding RNA of Brachypodium distachyon (stiff brome), 1912 nucleotides long. RefSeq lists it as uncharacterized. The record is from RefSeq and is a predicted model, not a curated record. The transcript is spliced from 3 exons. NCBI's taxonomy places the organism in Eukaryota, Viridiplantae, Streptophyta, Magnoliopsida, Poales, Poaceae.
UCCUUUCCCCUGUCUCCUUCCCUUCCUUCACCCACACCCAGUUCUUCCAGCAAGCAGCCGCCAUGGCUCCCCCUUCCCUCUCCUCGAUCCUCCCAACUCCUCGUCAACGGAUCCUUCCCCGAGCCCUCCUUCCUCAGGCCUCCUCGCAUCUGCUCUCCUCCGAGCACAUCCCCGCCCUGCACCUUGCCCGCCCCUGCCGUCGAAGCGCCCGCUCCAAGGCCGGUCCCUGACGUCGCGUCGGCGAGGAGCAUUUUUCUCGGUCCUGCGUCGCAUAGAGGAUGGGAUUUGGGAUUCACGCAGCUGCACAAUUCCGACAAUCAAAAUCGGCGCUAGGUGAGCGCGCUUUGAAGGCGACGUUUCGGCUUUGCCCUCGUACUGUCGUACACCGUGCUUGAAGGGCCACAUGCCUCAUCGACUCGCUGGUUUAGCAUGUGAUGGACACCGCCACACCGGUGAAGAUGGCAAUGGGACCCGAAAUUCGUAUUCCCGCGGGCUUUUAUUCCAUUAGGAAACGGGUUUGGAUCAUUCUCGAUCACCGCAAGUUUAUCCAUGGGUCAAAAGCUCAUAUCUAUAUCUAUCUAAAAACAAUAAAUACGGACAGUUCUUUUCGGCACGAGUUUUCGUAUUCCGUCGAACAAUCCUUCGUCUCCCCCGCGUCCCGUACCCCUUCGUGAAAAAAAAAAUCCCCUCUGUCCCUCCCUUCCCCUUCUGUCUCUCUCCCCUGUCCCUCUCACCUCGCCAGCGCCAUUAGCCCGGCCACCUCCUCGAGCCGAGCUCCGCCAGUGUCCGGCCGCGUGCCACCUUGCCUGCCCGAUCUCUGCCGGCGCCUCCCCUUUCUCCUCUGUCACUCUCUCGGUCUCUCCCCUAUCCAUCUCAGCUCGCCAGCGCCAGCAGCCCGGCCCGCCAACUCGUCCAGACGAGCUCCACCGUCGUCCGGCCGCGCGCUGCCUCGCCUGCUCGAUAUCCGCUGGUGCCUUCCCUUUCUCGCCUGUCGUUGUUCCUGCUCCGACGUCUUCAGCGGCGCCGCUGCACAUACUCCGAUGGCCAUGCGCCGCUGCUCGAGUUCGAGAGUCCCCGUGGGAGAGACUGGUUGAGUCCUGAGUUUUCAGGCAGGCCGACCUGGCCGACCUGCUCUCGCUGCCCUCCAACCAGGUCGUGGUGGAGCUCGGCGAGGCGGAUCUUUUUACAACGGAGCAGCAAGAACAGGCAGCAAUCGCCAAAUCACGUUCCUCGAUUCCGCAAAGGUCAAGGAGGAUGCGAGCGCCCUUCUUCUUGCUCCUCCUCCUGUUGCUGGCCAUUGGUUUAGACGCCGUGCCCUAAGACAGGAGGCUUCUCAGGGAUUAUGUUUCAUUAUUCGAGGAGAUGUUGGUCGGAUGCGGAGGCGUUCGCGGCUUCGCGCUCCCGAUGGACGUGGUCGGCCUCUUCGAUUGCGGUGCGACGCCGCUCGCCUCGCACGGCAGUCUCCUCGUGCGUCUCGUCGACGGCGAAAGCGAUGCGGAACCAGUUGAUAUGCUUGUCUCCGUUUCCGCGUGCUGUGUAGCACCUGCAAGGAAGAGCUCGCCGAAUGCCAGCGCUGCAAAGCUGCCGUCAUCUGCAGCAGCUGCAGGCCAACCGCGGCUUUCCAACGAAGGUGAAUCAAAGAACAAGACGACGCUGGUGGUGAGGCCGAGCAUGGAUACCCAUCUCCCGGCCGGCCGGCGCUGCAAGCAUUCCUUUUCUUUUCGAGCUCUUGUUCUUCCGUCAUCUCUGCUGGUCCAAGCCUUGAGAAAGAUGAUGUUGGAUGAAGUUGACCUGCACCUGUCCGAUGUAAUGCCUGCCAGAGCAAGUUUUCACACGUAAUUUGAUUUACUCACAAACUUUAUUUUCCAUCUUGAUUCCUCUUAAAAUUAAAGAAUAAAAUGGAUUUAUUUUC